CCUACGGGUGGCAGCAGUGGGGAAUAUUGGACAAUGGGGGGAACCCUGAUCCAGCCAUGCCGCGUGUGUGAAGAAGGCCCUCGGGUUGUAAAGCACUUUCAGUGAGGAAGAACGCCUGGUGGUUAAUACCCAUCAGGAAAGACAUCACUCACAGAAGAAGCACCGGCUAACUCCGUGCCAGCAGCCGCGGUAAUACGGAGGGUGCGAGCGUUAAUCGGAAUUACUGGGCGUAAAGCGCGCGUAGGUGGCUUGAUAAGCCGGUUGAGAAAGCCCCGGGCUCAACCUGGGAACGGCAUCCGGAACUGUCAAGCUAGAGUGCAGGAGAGGAAGGUAGAAUUCCCGGUGUAGCGGUGAAAUGCGUAGAGAUCGGGAGGAAUACCAGUGGCGAAGGCGGCCUUCUGGACUGACACUGACACUGAGGUGCGAAAGCGUGGGUAGCAAACAGGAUUAGAUACCCCUGUAGUC
RNAcentral lists this ribosomal RNA (465 nucleotides) under Vreelandella stevensii. Its description in RNAcentral is "partial 16S ribosomal RNA". It matches the Rfam family "Bacterial small subunit ribosomal RNA", at positions 338 to 795 of the family's 1533-position model. Lineage: Bacteria; Pseudomonadati; Pseudomonadota; Gammaproteobacteria; Oceanospirillales; Halomonadaceae. The record is from RNAcentral.